UGGGGAAUUUUGGACAAUGGGGGCAACCCUGAUCCAGCCAUCCCGCGUGUGCGAUGAAGGCCUUCGGGUUGUAAAGCACUUUUGGCAGGGAAGAAACAGCCUGGGAUAAUACCCCGGGCGACUGACGGUACCUGCAGAAUAAGCACCGGCUAACUACGUGCCAGCAGCCGCGGUAAUACGUAGGGUGCAAGCGUUAAUCGGAAUUACUGGGCGUAAAGCGUGCGCAGGCGGUUCGGAAAGAGAGGUGUGAAAUCCCAGGGCUUAACCUUGGAACUGCACUUUUAACUACCGAGCUAGAGUACGUCAGAGGGGGGUAGAAUUCCACGUGUAGCAGUGAAAUGCGUAGAGAUGUGGAGGAAUACCGAUGGCGAAGGCAGCCCCCUGGGAUGAUACUGACGCUCAUGCACGAAAGCGUGGGGAGCAAACAGGAUUAGAUACCCUGGUAGUCCACGCCCUAAACGAUGUCAACUAGCUGUUGGGGUUUAUUAACCUUAGUAGCGCAGCUAACGCGUGAAGUUGACCGCCUGGGGAGUACGGUCGC
This 541-nucleotide ribosomal RNA is filed under the name uncultured bacterium. RNAcentral describes it as "partial 16S ribosomal RNA". It matches the Rfam family "Bacterial small subunit ribosomal RNA", at positions 355 to 889 of the family's 1533-position model. The record is from RNAcentral.